CUCAUUUUCUUAAUAGAGUCUUUCUCUGAACAAAGGUAUUCAUUUUGAUGAAGCCGAAUUUAGGAAGUUUAAAGAAUUUUUUCCCUUUUAUGGACUGUGAUUUUAAUCAAGCUUAAGAACUCUUUGCUUAGCCCUGGAUUCCAAAGAUUUUCUGUUUUGUUUUGGUUUUUUUUAUUCUAAAGUUUUUAUAGUUUUAUGUUUGAAGUCUGUGACGCAUCUUGUGUUCAUUCUUGUAAAGUGUGGGAGGUUCUUAGGGCUGGACCUGGGCACACAUUUCAUUGGCUAGGACCCAGUCACAUGGCUGCAACGUGGGAGCCCUGCUGGCUGCAAGGGCGGCUGGGACAGGAUUCCAGGAGCAAGAGCAGCGGGAAGAGAGGCUCCUGCUUGCACUGCGUUGCUCAAGUUUGUUUCUGAGACAAGAGUUGCUGACUCCAAAUCUGCAACAUAACUGAUAAGGAAGAAAGAACAGCUCGUUUUAAUGCAGUUCAUGUCAUCUAUGUAACCUUGGUGUCUCCAUAAAAUUCUUCCUGAUAUUUAAAAGAGUUGAUAGCUGAGAUAAGAUUUUUUAAAUAUCAGUAUUAACAAAACCCAGGCCUCAAUGAAGCAUAAUCCAAUGGAAAUUAUAUGCAAAGCAACAGCCCCACCAGGGUUCACAAGCCACAGCUGAAAUGUUAUUAUUGUGCAAUGAAAAUCUACAGCUUCCUCACUAUGGAAUCAGGACAUAAACUUUAACAAAGUCACACUCUGCUUUUCUUCAACCCCAAGGACAGCCUAAUCAGACCACAGUACAUAAGAACUCUCUUUUCUUUCCUUUGUUUUAUUUUACUUUCUUCUCUCUUAUGAAAAUAAAACUUUAAACUCAAAAUUGACA
RNAcentral lists this long non-coding RNA (871 nucleotides) under Bos indicus x Bos taurus (hybrid cattle). Its description in RNAcentral is "lncRNA (ENSBIXG00005017672.1)". The record is from RNAcentral. Lineage: Eukaryota; Metazoa; Chordata; Mammalia; Artiodactyla; Bovidae.